RNAcentral lists this ribosomal RNA (754 nucleotides) under uncultured cyanobacterium. Its description in RNAcentral is "bacterial SSU rRNA". It matches the Rfam family "Bacterial small subunit ribosomal RNA", at positions 54 to 851 of the family's 1533-position model. Lineage: Bacteria; Bacillati; Cyanobacteriota. The record is from RNAcentral.
CAUGCAGUCGAACGGGAAUCUUCGGAUUCUAGUGGCGGACGGGUGAGUAACGCGUAAGAAUCUAACUUCAGGACGGGGACAACAGUUGGAAACGACUGCUAAUACCCGAUGUGCCGAAAGGUGAAACCUAAUUGGCCUGAAGAAGAGCUUGCGUCUGAUUAGCUAGUUGGUGGGGUAAGAGCCUACCAAGGCGACGAUCAGUAGCUGGUCUGAGAGGAUGAGCAGCCACACUGGGACUGAGACACGGCCCAGACUCCUACGGGAGGCAGCAGUGGGGAAUUUUCCGCAAUGGGCGAAAGCCUGACGGAGCAACGCCGCGUGAGGGAGGAAGGUCUUUGGAUUGUAAACCUCUUUUCUCAAGGAAGAAGUUCUGACGGUACUUGAGGAAUCAGCCUCGGCUAACUCCGUGCCAGCAGCCGCGGUAAUACGGGGGAGGCAAGCGUUAUCCGGAAUUAUUGGGCGUAAAGCGUCCGCAGGUGGUCAGCCAAGUCUGCCGUCAAAUCAGGUUGCUUAACGACCUAAAGGCGGUGGAAACUGGCAGACUAGAGAGCAGUAGGGGUAGCAGGAAUUCCCAGUGUAGCGGUGAAAUGCGUAGAGAUUGGGAAGAACAUCGGUGGCGAAAGCGUGCUACUGGGCUGUAUCUGACACUCAGGGACGAAAGCUAGGGGAGCGAAAGGGAUUAGAUACCCCUGUAGUCCUAGCCGUCAACGAUGGAUACUAGGCGUGGCUUGUAUCGACCCGAGCCGUGCCGAAG